CCUACGGGUGGCUGCAGUGGGGAAUAUUGGACAAUGGGGGCAACCCUGAUCCAGCCAUGCCGCGUGUGUGAAGAAGGCCCUCGGGUUGUAAAGCACUUUCAGUGAGGAAGAACGCCUGGUGGUUAAUACCCAUCAGGAAAGACAUCACUCACAGAAGAAGCACCGGCUAACUCCGUGCCAGCAGCCGCGGUAAUACGGAGGGUGCGAGCGUUAAUCGGAAUUACUGGGCGUAAAGCGCGCGUAGGUGGCUUGAUAAGCCGGUUGUGAAAGCCCCGGGCUCAACCUGGGAACGGCAUCCGGAACUGUCAGCUAGAGUGCAGGAGAGGAAGGUAGAAUUCCCGGUGUAGCGGUGAAAUGCGUAGAGAUCGGGAGGAAUACCAGUGGCGAAGGCGGCCUUCUGGACUGACACUGACACUGAGGUGCGAAAGCGUGGGUAGCAAACAGGAUUAGAUACCCUAGUAGUC
RNAcentral lists this ribosomal RNA (464 nucleotides) under Vreelandella stevensii. Its description in RNAcentral is "partial 16S ribosomal RNA". It matches the Rfam family "Bacterial small subunit ribosomal RNA", at positions 338 to 795 of the family's 1533-position model. Lineage: Bacteria; Pseudomonadati; Pseudomonadota; Gammaproteobacteria; Oceanospirillales; Halomonadaceae. The record is from RNAcentral.